This 399-nucleotide long non-coding RNA is filed under the name Manihot esculenta (cassava). RNAcentral describes it as "long non-coding RNA (MESC_LNC012135)". Lineage: Eukaryota; Viridiplantae; Streptophyta; Magnoliopsida; Malpighiales; Euphorbiaceae. The record is from RNAcentral.
GUGACGUAUAACGGCUCUCCCAUGAUUGGACCACGUGUCUCUGCCAUACAGAUAUGGGCGUACGAGGAUAUCAGGCGCCUGCUCCAUGCGUAACGGCCUCUGAUUCUCCCCCGUGCGUACACUCGAGCGGAUCUGCCAGGCUGUACGACGAGUCUCGUUCUGGAUUCUGGGCUGGGCCGAGAGCUAGGCUGGACGUUGAACCCAGGAGGAGAAGGAAUCCGUGGGGAGGUUAUAUGGGCUGGGCCGAUCUCGAUGGGGAAGAAUCUGGUGGAGUCCGGCCUCAGGGGUCUAAUGAUCCGGGCCUGUUUUACUUGAGAGGGCGUGCGGGCCUUCCUUUCAUGGGCCGUGGUCGUAAUCUAGGCCCAGGAUUGGGGGUAGGGAAAUCCAGCGGUCAUCAAU